This 444-nucleotide ribosomal RNA is filed under the name uncultured Anaerolineaceae bacterium. RNAcentral's name for it is "bacterial SSU rRNA". It matches the Rfam family "Bacterial small subunit ribosomal RNA", at positions 924 to 1382 of the family's 1533-position model. The record is from RNAcentral. Lineage: Bacteria; Bacillati; Chloroflexota; Anaerolineae; Anaerolineales; Anaerolineaceae.
CACAAGCAGCGGAGCGUGUGGUUUAAUUCGAUGCUACACGAAGAACCUUACCAGGGUUUGACAUGCAAGUGGUAGGAACCGAAAGGCGACCGACCCCUUCGGGGAGCUUGCACAGGUGCUGCAUGGCUGUCGUCAGCUCGUGUCGUGAGAUGUUCGGUUAAGUCCGCUAACGAGCGCAACCCUCGUCGUAUGUUAUAUGUGUCAUACGAGACUGCCGGUAAAAGCCGGAGGAAGGUGAGGAUGAUGUCAAGUCAGCAUGACCUUUAUAUCCAGGGCUACACACACGCUACAAUGGUCUGUACAAUGGGUAGCCAAGCCGCGAGGCGGAGCCAAUCCUGAAAGCAGGCCUCAGUUCAGAUUGCAGUCUGCAACUCGACUGCAUGAAGCCGGAGUUGCUAGUAAACGCAGGUCAGCCAUACUGCGUUGAAUACGUUCCCGGGGCUU